GAAGGUUUCAGGUCUGCUGCGCUGUGCUUAGUUGCUGGAUCGGUGUGCACUUUACUUUGGUUUGCGGCAGAAUUUUUGUAUAAUUAGUUUUGGAUCCUGUAUAUUGUUUAUGCUGUUUUGUGUCUUUUAUCUGUGCAGGAUUCUAUCGGCUAGGUGUUGGUGUUGCAUUUGAAUUAUUGAGCCUAUAUUGCAGGAUAAAUUCGACAGAAGAGGAGCUGUUUGUGAGCAAACGUCCUGUCUUAAUUUUCCGUCUUGGUUGCAUCUCAUAAGGUCAUUGCCCGGUUGUCUUGGGUCGGAAGUGAUUCUGCUCCUGAAGUCCAAGCGUUAUUAAGUGGCAUGACGCGAGAUCCCAAGACGUGAUAUUGUAU
RNAcentral lists this long non-coding RNA (368 nucleotides) under Trifolium pratense (red clover). RNAcentral describes it as "long non-coding RNA (TPRA_LNC003462)". Lineage: Eukaryota; Viridiplantae; Streptophyta; Magnoliopsida; Fabales; Fabaceae. The record is from RNAcentral.